This 155-nucleotide ribosomal RNA is filed under the name uncultured bacterium. Its description in RNAcentral is "partial 16S ribosomal RNA". It matches the Rfam family "Bacterial small subunit ribosomal RNA", at positions 355 to 507 of the family's 1533-position model. The record is from RNAcentral.
UGAGGAAUAUUGCGCAAUGGAGGCAACUCUGACGCAGCCAUGCCGCGUGCAGGAAGAAGGCGCUACGCGUUGUAAACUGCUUUUAACCGGGAAGAAACCCCUCUACGUGUGGAGGGUUGACGGUACCGGAGGAAUAAGCACCGGCUAACUUCGUG